GUGUGGAGCUAGACCGGGCUGCUAGGCGUAGCCUGUAACCUGAAAUCGUCUACAUGCAGGGGUCGAAAAUCCCGGAAGGUAACUGAAGUAGCAGAAGCCUCUCUAAUUUAACUAUGAGGUCCAGCCCCAAGAGGUGGUUUUCAUUAUGAAUCCCCCAGGUUCGGAAGAAAGCAAGGGUAAGUAAUGAAAACCAUGCUUUUGGGUAAACUGGGCGGAGGAGAGUUAGAGAGUAAACUUCUGUUGCUUUUGUUAUCGACCGGGAACUGCUCCACAC
Molecule: signal recognition particle RNA, 274 nt
Rfam family: Archaeal signal recognition particle RNA